UACGUAGGGGGCUAGCGUUGUCCGGAAUCAUUGGGCGUAAAGCGCGUGUAGGCGGUUCGGUAAGUCCGCUGUGAAAGUCGGGGGCUCAACCCUCGAAAGCCGGUGGAUACUGUCGGGCUAGAGUACGGAAGAGGCGAGUGGAAUUCCUGGUGUAGCGGUGAAAUGCGCAGAUAUCAGGAGGAACACCAAUUGCGAAGGCAGCUCGCUGGGACGUUACUGACGCUGAGACGCGAAAGCGUGGGGAGCGAACAGG
Molecule: ribosomal RNA, 253 nt
Filed under: uncultured bacterium
Lineage: Bacteria
Description: partial 16S ribosomal RNA
Rfam family: Bacterial small subunit ribosomal RNA
Source: RNAcentral